GGCCUGAUCAUUCUUUGGCUAGAAUCACUGAGUAAAUUCAUGUUAAUGGUUGGACCUAACUGAGACUUUCAGUGGAGGUCCAUCAUAUUGGGAAAUGUAUCCUAAAGCCAAUCAUCUAAGUAGUAGAUGAUUGGAAUUAGUAUAUGAAUUAUCUAAUAAUAAUAGUUAUUUGGUAGGUUCAUCAUAAAAGUUUUAUCUUCC
This 201-nucleotide long non-coding RNA is filed under the name Elaeis guineensis (African oil palm). RNAcentral's name for it is "long non-coding RNA (EGUI_LNC077322)". The record is from RNAcentral. Lineage: Eukaryota; Viridiplantae; Streptophyta; Magnoliopsida; Arecales; Arecaceae.